GCUCGCCAAUCUCCCCCACGUGACCGAGGUCGGGACCAAUCCUAUGUUAGAACGAAGCGUUCUCCUCCCCACCCCCACCCCCCGGCCGCCAAUCACAGGACAGAAACUGACCAUAGAGGCUUUGGAGUUGAGAUCCCCAUGUAAGAGAGCAGGAAUUAUUUUCAGAUCACCAAACAAAUUGGGUAUCUUCACCUAAAAAGAAAAAGAAGCAAACAAUAAGCUUGACUGGAGAAAUCAUCUGUUAUCUACCAUAGCUGCAGAAGUAGUCACACAAUCCUUGGAAAAGGCAGGGCUGCUUUAAGGAUUUGCAAACAAGUAUGUAGGUAUGAAGAGUAACACAACAAAGCAAAAACAAUAAAAGCCUACCUGUGGAAGAUAACCACAACAAGU
Notechis scutatus (mainland tiger snake) is the source of this 390-nucleotide non-coding RNA. The record is from RefSeq and is a predicted model, not a curated record. Lineage: Eukaryota; Metazoa; Chordata; Lepidosauria; Squamata; Elapidae.